Long non-coding RNA from Betta splendens (Siamese fighting fish), 2859 nucleotides. RefSeq lists it as uncharacterized. The record is from RefSeq and is a predicted model, not a curated record. NCBI's taxonomy places the organism in Eukaryota, Metazoa, Chordata, Actinopteri, Anabantiformes, Osphronemidae. The transcript has 9 exons.
UUAAUCACCUUAUCCACCUUUCUAUAUGGAGUUUAAAGAUAACAACAUAAUUAACACUAAACCCCCCUCCUUUUAGUUGGUCUUGCCCAUGACGUCAUAGAAGGAAGCGGUUGGCCGCCGCCUCCUCUAGUCAACUCAAGCAUGAACAACACUCUGCUUGGCUCCAGAGGGAUAUUGCACAAAAACAGAUCAAGAUUUCCAGGACAAGUGGCUUGGCCUAGUUUACUAAACUUCACCCUGUGUUAUUCCUUUGGACGAUUGCCAAGCCAGGAUAAAAACACGAAACUACUAUUACACAGACAAGCACGAUACGGAAAGGAAAUGCCUAAAACCAAAGGCAGAUAAGAAGUUUGAUCAUUUCAAAGGAGAAUGAAGGAGUCAACCAUAACCAUCUGCUGGCCUGGAGGAGCAAUCGGAUGCUGGCAACCUGAUCAGGCAUAAUCUGUUGAAUGGUGAGGGAUGUCUGCAGCCUGGCCUCAUCUGGGCAGAAUGAAGAUGUCAUGCUGUGACUACGGGCUACACAACACUCCCAUGUGGCUGGACUACUUGAGAACAGGCUGACAUUUGAAAUGCUGGUGCGCUCCAUCAGAACCUACCGUGGCAUCUGGGAGUAUUGUGAGAGCACAGAGGGCAACAUGCUGUACCUGCACCGAAUUCCAACAGCUAUGCUGCUGUCAGUGAGCUGAUGAGGGUGACAAUGAGCUGGAUGGUUUGAUGGCUCCUUGAAACGUGUAGGUGUGGAUGAAAGCAGAACAGGAAGAUGGACUGACAUGGAAAGACACUGACUCCUUUAGCCUUGUAGAAGAUAUUCCGAUCCGGUAUGUGUUUACCUUUUAUAUAUGUUGCUAUCAUCCAGGCUGAGAGCAUGUUAGCAGGUAGUAAGCAUAUUGCUGAAUGUGAUAAAUGUUUUAAUACUGUUAGUGUGUGGGCACAGGUGCAAACCACAUAUGGGCUCUUAAGCAUGAGUGCAAGUUCGCUGAUUAGACACAACACAUAUUCAUGUGCAUUUGACAUUUGAUGCACUGUACACAAGCAUUAACAGCAUGUGAAACUGCAGUAUGUACAUCUAGUUGUGUGGCAAACAAGGUUAAAGGUGAAAUGGCGAGCAGUAAUUCAUCAACGUGUAAAGAAAUGGCAAGUAUGCUCUCUUUGGCCUAACCUCAGUUUUCUUCUCCAUUUAAAAUAUCGAUGCAUCUCUGGUACAAAAGGCGUACAGUUUUCUCCAAAACAGGACCAACCAAAGAGAUGUGUCUGCCUGCUUUAGGGCUCAUGACCAAGAACAGAGCUAAAAAUAUGGUUCGCAUGUGAAGUGGAGCUGUCAGUAACUGCUAUCGUGGUCCUGUCAGGAAAAGACAGAAGCUCAGAGUCGAAUAAAAGACUUGCUAUCAGACAGAACAGAGAGGAGAGUCCAGGAAGGGUCAAAGGAGAACCCAGGUUGAGAAGUACUGCAUGGAAAUGAAAGAACUCUUUAACAUCAGUUCAUCUCCACCCGUGUCUCUUUAUUCAUUCCUCCGUUGUGGGCCAUUACACCACAGUGUUCCUCUGUCUGUAUGGAGGGGGUGGCAACACAUUGCCAGCUUUCAUAGCAGCUUCAGACAAAUAUUCCUGAUUUUCAGCCACAGCAGGGCGAAUGCGUCCAUUCUGCCGGUAAAAGAAGCGUGUGCUGCAGUCCUGCAGGUACUCGGGGUUGUGCAGUGAGGACUUUGGGGGCAGACUGUGCUGCCAGUAUUCAGGAUUGUCAAAAGUGGCCUUCUUGCCUUUCUUAUCAAACAUGAUGGUGCUGCUGGUGACGCCUGAGUGCAGAGCGUGUCCCGAAUGCCCUGGAUGCAGGGUGUGUGAUGGAUAUGAUGAGUGGGGGAGGUGGCCGGGAGGUACCACGUAUCCAGUGGAUGAGACGACGUGGCCCGACGUCGAUGGGUUGACUGUCUGUGAUACUGACUGGGCAACAGAGGAGCCGGGCCCCGAGAUGGAAACUGCACCAGCCAAACCGUUCUUGUCUCCAGGGUUAAGGAAGGUAUUCAGGUACAAUGGCUCAUUAAUAUACUCUUCAUCCCCAUGGGAGGCCUGACCCUUGGGGUUGGCUGCAGCUCCAGCUAUGUGCAAGGUGUGGCAGCCUGCUCCAUCAACCACAGCGUGUAUGUCACCAUUCCUCCGACGCGUGACAAAGGGGUUUUCCUCCACAGGCCUGAGAUAGUCUGGUAACAAAGGGUUCAAAAAAUGAGUUUCAAUAAGAAAAGUAAUGCUGUCUACAUUGCAUCGUGCUUGGUUAUCAUUUGUAUAUCAAAGGUCAGAUUAACACAAACCCCUGUAAUGUUACACCUCAUGUUCAAUAGUGCAAAGUAACCUGAGGAUUUCUUGUCUCUCUUAGCAGUAAUGUAGAUGUCCUGGUCCUUGUCUCCUUUUGGUCCUCGCUCUGUUAAAAGGCCGGUUGGAUCAGCACUGUAUCGCUGUCCACUGCUGUCUUCACCUUGGGAGGCAAACACAAGGAUUGUUUUGAUAUGGUAAAUAUAGAUGUGGGCCAUGGGACAGGAUGUCUCCAGCCCUGUAAUGCAGUCCCACAGUGAGAAUCGAGCCUGCCCCGAGGGCGCUGGAUCUCGGGGAGGCCUGCUUCCUCAGGGUGCCGUUGCAUCGUGGGUCAUCCUGGUUGCCGUGGCUGAACCCACCAGCAAUUUGGCUCCCUGACGCCAGGUCCUGUGGAGGGAGGCAGCUUCCGGACACCGGUGGAACGGAGACCACUCUGGGCAGCGUGGCCAACAUGUCCUCCAUGCUGAAACUGGGAUCGUGGUAGCUGAACUGGGUCUGCUUGAGUGGGAAAGAUGCAAGAAAGUAUGUAUAAAAUAAAAAGUGCGAUAAUAUAGA